GCACGUCGUUGGUGUGCAGGAUCGUGAGCUCCCAGGCGCUAGCCGAGGGCCACAGCAGCGCGCCCAGAGCCAGGAGCAGCCGCGCGGGCGCCCACGGGACCCCGGGACCCAUGGCCGCGGCGCGGGUUUUAUUUUAUUUUAGGCUGUUUUAUCACUGGAGCCAGUCUCAAAAGGAUUCAGCACCUGUACUUCAGAUAAAGAUGAAAACAAACUAAGAGAAGCCUCUGAAGACCUUGAACUUACUUUGUAGUCCAGCCUGGCCACCAACUCACAGUGAGUCUCUACCUCAGCCUCCUGAGUGCUGCAAUUACAGGCAUGUGCCAUCAUGCCCACCUCAGAAAAUGGUUUUUGUAAUUGUUCAGUUUGCCAUUUUCAGACUUGGGGGAGAAAGAACAAAGGCACAUCAGCAAACAAGCCCAAUUGAAGAACCAGCACCAUGCAUGAGCUACUGCAGGAUUGGGAACAGCAAGACCUCUGCCCCUUCCAGCACAGGGUCUGGCAAACAAGAGCAAUUAAGAUACAGGAAAAUCACACCUGACAAGUAAGGCUACCACUUAUAGGCACAGGAGGAAACCACAGAAGAGCAGCUGCACCGCUGUACCAAGAAAUGUGACCACACUUGCAUCUGCCCUGCUCACUUGGAGAAGCAGGACGACACGCUCUCUGCUCCCAAAUUCCUGAAAACAACAAACUCCUCCCUAUCGACCUAAAGACUUUGUUAUACCCUCACUUACUGAUUCUGCUCUCUCUCUCAGUUCACUCCCGUGAGAGUCAAUAAACAACCUUGGUUGACAACA
This is a long non-coding RNA of Cavia porcellus (domestic guinea pig), 797 nucleotides long. RefSeq lists it as uncharacterized. Lineage: Eukaryota; Metazoa; Chordata; Mammalia; Rodentia; Caviidae. The transcript has 5 exons. The record is from RefSeq and is a predicted model, not a curated record.